CUCAAUUCCCUUGAGCGCGAGUCCUGAGCAGUGAGCCCUAACCCCACGCCUCCCACCCCCAAAUCCCAAUCGAAAGCUCUCAGCCUCUCACAGUCGCGCCGGUGCACCCAGCCACUAAGCCACCCACGUUCUCUGCAGUGGCACUCUCUUCUCACGGCGGCGAACCCACGUUCCUCCCAGUCUCCCACCACCUCGCAGCGAAGCCUUCCUCCCAACGCCGCCGAACCUCUUCGCGGACAGAGCACGACAAAGCCCCAGCCACAGCCUGAACGUCCCUCGCACACAGCAGUAGUAGUCUAGCAGAGCACCACCCUCGCAGUCUCGCACCCAGCAGUAGCAGAGCACCACCCUCGCCACCCACAACACAGCACCCACCAAUCACCGAUUCAAGUCUCCCACCCAGUCACCGACUCAACACAGCACCCACGUUCCUCCCAAUCUUCCACCCAGCCACCGAUUCAAGUCAGAUAUGGAGCCCGAGCCACCGAGUUAGUGUUGCUGUCUUGUUGACUUGCUGUCUGUUGAUUUAUUGUUUGCUGUUUGUUAGUUUGAUGUCAGUUCAAGUGAAAAUAUGGGCGACACUGAAUUUGCUGUUAAUACUGAAAUUACUGGGUUCAUACUGAAUUACUGAAACUGCUUCUGGGUUGUUCAUACUGAAUUAUUGAAAUUGCUGUUCUAUUUGCUGUUCUGUUUGUUGUUAUGUGAUAAUAUCCGAAAACUUGAUCUGAAACUACUUCUGGUUUAUUUUUAUUAUUAGUUAUUUUGGAAAAAUAAAAAAAUUAAAUUUUAACUGAUUUAGUAUGAUUUAGUAUGAUUUAUUACUUUUGUUUCCAAUUCUAUAUAUAUGGAGAAUUGGUUUGUUAGCAGCAGGACAAAAUAGCACAAUUACAGCAGGACAAUUCAUAACCGAAGGGUUUUUGAAGGUAAAUAUAAAGAAAUAGUUAAGGUCAUUGAUUACUAGAAGUUGUGCUAUUGUUCCAACAAUGAUAGCUGCUAUAGUUUUUAAUACAUCAGAGAGUUCAUUAGAUACUAUGAAUGAAUGGCUGAAUGUGGUUCAGUCAAUUCAGAUUCCUUUUGCACUCAUUCUACUUCUUACAUUGGUGUCUAAAGAAGAGGUAAUGGGAACUUUUAGAAUAGGCCCAAUUGUAGAGGUAAGCUUUGUUUGCAUUCUAACUUUUGUAGAAUUGAUUUUGAUGUAUUCGAACUUUUAGAAUAGUGAUUUCUUCCUUCCAAAA
Arachis duranensis is the source of this 1235-nucleotide long non-coding RNA. RefSeq lists it as uncharacterized. The record is from RefSeq and is a predicted model, not a curated record. Lineage: Eukaryota; Viridiplantae; Streptophyta; Magnoliopsida; Fabales; Fabaceae. The transcript is spliced from 3 exons.